UGAAAAAUCAAUGAAGCCUUAGGUCUUUUAAAAAUUUAAUUUAUUGUUACACUUUAGAUAUACAUAAUGAUCACAUUCAUCAUAGGAAAUAUGUAGCUGUACGUAAUGUAUUCUGAUUCUUCUUUCUUUCCCUUUUCCCCUUCCCUCCCUACUUUCAGUUUUGCAGUCACAAUGUGGCUUUGAUCUUUGAUCUGAAAUCUUUUCCCACCCAAGAAUCUUUCUAAUUACAUAGCAGUGAUUGGAGAUAUCCUUAUUUUCAAAGCUAGUAAAACCUGGCUGUAAUAUUUUUUUUCUAAAUUUUUUCUCAAAGGCAAAACAAGUCCUGCCCAGACAACAGCUGUGCAGGUGCACAUGCCCCAGCCAAGACCAAACCCAGACACCAGUGGAUUGGGCACAGAGGUCCCAGACAGAAGCCUGCCCAGAUACCACAGAUAAAGAUACUUCCAGUGGUGUGAAAGCAGUUGCAGCUCCAAACCUAACUUGGAUACUACAUGUAAAGAGUCCUGAUAAAUCUCAUAACUCUUCAAGAACAGCAAGGUUAAAUUCAAAACUGAUUUGUUUAGGCGCUC
RNAcentral lists this long non-coding RNA (569 nucleotides) under Fukomys damarensis (Damara mole-rat). Its description in RNAcentral is "lncRNA (ENSFDAG00000033632.1)". Lineage: Eukaryota; Metazoa; Chordata; Mammalia; Rodentia; Bathyergidae. The record is from RNAcentral.